GGAGAUUUACUAGACAGCCAAAGAAGAAGGUAGAGGGAGAACAAUGCAGGACUCAUAAUAGAUAGAGAAGAGGGGAAGUUAUGGAUGAGGUAGAGAUUGCAGUUCCAAGAAAGACAGAUGAUGAGGGAGUGGAAGGCGUUGGCAAAGUUCUGGUGCAUUGAUGUUUUGCAAAAAGGACCUUUCUGAGUAACAACUGCAUCUGUCUAUUCAUGUACACCAGAUCAUCUUGUUUAACUAUUGUUUACUAGACUAGAAUUUUCUAUAUAAGGAUGAUAUUUAACUAUUCAUAGGCACAUUUUAUCUCAGUACAAUGUAUCGUUUGUUUAAAUGCUGUGGCUUGUAUGUAUUUCAAAUCAAAUUAUGUAUUUGAAUCCGUGGAAUGAAAUUAUGUAUUUCUAUCACUAAUGAACCUUAACCUCUAAAGAUGAAGAUAGACUUGGAAACAACAACCAAUGAAACUUUGCAUUGGGUGGAGCAGUUUCAACUAUAAAUUAACUAUUGGAAAUACGAAAUGCCCAUUGAAUGGUAACCUAAGAAACCGUGAAAUGAAAUUAAUGUAUUGGAAAUAGCGUGAUGAUGUGGCACUCAUGGAGAGAUUGGAGGACUAAUUUAUGAUUUUACAUUACUUUGCGGGGGCUAGUUGUCAAUAAGGGCAGUGUCAGUUUAUAUUACCACCCUGUUCUCUUCCCCUAUCGAGUAAGCUACUUCUUCAUUCUUGGUAUGUGCAUGGAAUAUGAG
This 738-nucleotide long non-coding RNA is filed under the name Setaria viridis. RNAcentral describes it as "long non-coding RNA (SVIR_LNC000563)". The record is from RNAcentral. Lineage: Eukaryota; Viridiplantae; Streptophyta; Magnoliopsida; Poales; Poaceae.